GCUGGGGAUGUAGCUCAGUGGUAGAGCUUUUGCCUAGGAUGUGCAAGGCCCUGGGUUCAAUCCCCAGCCCCAGUG
This is a non-coding RNA of Sciurus carolinensis (gray squirrel), 75 nucleotides long. The record is from the annotation of a RefSeq genome assembly. NCBI's taxonomy places the organism in Eukaryota, Metazoa, Chordata, Mammalia, Rodentia, Sciuridae.